Molecule: long non-coding RNA, 1053 nt
Filed under: Homo sapiens (human)
Lineage: Eukaryota; Metazoa; Chordata; Mammalia; Primates; Hominidae
Description: novel transcript, antisense to DMXL2
Source: RNAcentral
GAGUCCAAAUCCAGAAAUGAUACCUAUAAGUAAAUAACAUACCACACUAGCUCCAGUGCUAGUCUGUCCAGUGCCCAGCCAUGGCAGAGAUGAAGGUGGAUGCACCUGACUUGCUGAAUAGGAUGUUGCACUGGGUUGAUAAAGAGUUGUAGUGGAACCACGAUAAUCAACAUCAUCUGAACUGUGAAAAACAUUCAUGUGUUACUGUGAACAUUCCCUUUUCUCUUAACACAAAUUCCAACUAAAAAUCUUCUUAUGUACCCAUAGGACAAUCUUUAUUUUAAAAACUAAGUAGCCAUGAGAAAAACUUAGGUACAAGUCCUAAUCGCCAAUGUUAAUACUGGUUAACUUUUUUCCCUUUUGGCAAAAUGUAAAUUUAGUCUAAUGUUGUUUGGGGACAACUUUAUUGCUGCACAAGUUGAAACAAAAGUUUGUUGUUAUCUAUGGAAAAAUAUUAUGUUCUCUUCAAGUACAGAUAGCUCAGUAUCAAAUUAACACGUUUAAAGAAAUUUGAGUUUAAAGAUUUCUUGGAGUAAGACAUAUAAAAUGUGAAAGUAAUUGUUGGGAUGGAUUGUAUCAUAGUACAUGGUUAUAUCUACUCUGAAAUGUGAUAUUAAAUCCUAGUUAUAUCACAUACUAACAAAAAAAAGAAUUCAACAAAAUGAGGAGAGAAACUAUCAUGGCACCAUCCUCAAGCAUGAACAAUUUCUAAGAGUCUGGAGAAAAGCAGGAGGGAAGGCAAACCACAAAGAAGAAACCUCAAAAUAGGUGACUGCCUUCCUUUCAUCACGAAGGGCCAUUCAAAUUUUCUGCCCAUGCCUCCAGGGACUCCCCUAUGGCUGCUGCAGCUGAUAAAGAUGCAUCCAAGAAAACUUCCAAGGAAUGGUCAAUGUGUGGCACAGCUAACUCAGUGAAGGCCAAACUGCUGAAGAAUCUAUUUGUCUUAACUAGCUGAAUUCACCAAUCUGUUUCCCAAAAACUUGUUUUGUGAAAUAUUUUCCUGUAAUAUCUUCAGUGAAUAAAAGAUCUUAUUCUUAUAAAUAUAUAACUUCA